RNAcentral lists this ribosomal RNA (520 nucleotides) under uncultured Diversispora. RNAcentral's name for it is "SSU rRNA". It matches the Rfam family "Eukaryotic small subunit ribosomal RNA", at positions 569 to 1090 of the family's 1831-position model. Lineage: Eukaryota; Fungi; Glomeromycota; Glomeromycetes; Diversisporales; Diversisporaceae. The record is from RNAcentral.
AGCAGCCGCGGUAAUUCCAGCUCCAAUAGCGUAUAUUAAAGUUGUUGCAGUUAAAAAGCUCGUAGUUGAAUUUCGGGAUUCGUCCAUUGGUCAGGCUUAACUGUCUGUACUGAUGUGUCGGAUUUCUACCUUCUGAAGAACCUUCAUGCCAUUAAUUUGGUGUGUUGGGGAAUCAGGACUGUUACUUUGAAAAAUUAGAGUGUUUAAAGCAGGCUAACGUCUGAAUACAUUAGCAUGGAAUAAUGAAAUAGGACGGUACGGUUCUAUUUUGUUGGUUUCUAGGAUCGCCGUAAUGAUUAAUAGGGAUAGUUGGGGGCAUUAGUAUUCAAUUGUCAGAGGUGAAAUUCUUGGAUUUAUUGAAGACUAACUACUGCGAAAGCAUUUGCCAAGGAUGUUUUCAUUAAUCAAGAACGAAAGUUAGGGGAUCGAAGACGAUCAGAUACCGUCGUAGUCUUAACCAUAAACUAUGCCGACUAGGGAUUGGACGAUGUUAAUUUUUAAUGACUCGUUCAGCACCUUA